This is a long non-coding RNA of Capsella rubella, 1094 nucleotides long. RefSeq lists it as uncharacterized. NCBI's taxonomy places the organism in Eukaryota, Viridiplantae, Streptophyta, Magnoliopsida, Brassicales, Brassicaceae. The transcript has 2 exons. The record is from RefSeq and is a predicted model, not a curated record.
UCUCUCUCUCUCUCUCUCUCUCAGAUUCUAGUCUUCUCCUUCUUGAACAUGGUUUCUCAGAUUUGAAGAGACAAAAUCAUAAUUUGAAAUUAGCAUUGCUGUUCAAAAUGGAGAUAACUUUACAACUCUUUGCUCACUUUCCUAGUAUUGGGGUUUUUGAAUUUGGCAAAAACUAGAUUUUGAUGAAUUGGUUACAAAUUAUGUAUUGAUGUCUGCAAUUUUUGUAUUUAGAUGAUUAGAGGAUGGUAUUUUAAUAGGAAUUGUUGGAUAUGAAUAUGAAAUAGAUGGUGAAGAUGUUUGUUUCUUGUGUGUGUAGGAUGAGUGAAUUUGAUAUCUAUAGAUUUGGUGUUGUUAUGUUGGUUUUGUUGUCUAGAAGAGCUGCUAUGUUUAAUGGACUAUAUGAGACUCAUAGAUCAUGUAUUUGAGGUAAUGAACUAGAUGAGACCAGUUUUGGUCUCUCUCUCCUAGCUUUGGUUAAUUUUUUCUUUAAUUGCAGGUGUUGCUACAUGUGCAUCGUACCCUCUUGACUGCAAAAACUGAAGCUUUGAAUCAAGCGAUGUCGCAGGAUUAGCUAUAACUAUAAUCACUCGUGGAUCAGUCCUAACGAUGCUGGAGAUUUGAGAAUCUUUGAACCCAUAACUUCUAAGAAACUUGAGAACAGAAGGUGCAGCUUAUCACCAAGCUAAUGGAGGUAAGAGCUGCAGCCUGCAGUCACGAGUGAUGAAAAAUGUAGCAAUCUCUCAUUUCAUCUACUUCUCCUUCUCUUCAUCAAAGAGAGUGGUUCCCUCAUUUCUUCUAGUCUCUGCAGUCUUUGUAUAAUUCUAAAAGUACUGAAACAAGCAAGAAGUAUGAAGGACAAGUUUGAGAAGUACUGGGAUGAAUUGAUCAAUAUAAAUCCAGUUGAUAGAAACAGUUGAGCGACAGAGUUUAGGAUCAGCUUAUGAUGUUUUGUCAUGGUAGAAGCAUAAUAGUCUGAACUAUGUUUAGGAACCUUAUAAAAUAUGUUUUUUUAGACAUACCGUUUAUGCAAAUUGUUGUUUGUUAACGAGAAGCAUAUAUUCAUCAAUAUAUGGAUUUUGCUACUUUUUAAAACC